AUUCUGCCCAUGCGGGGAAGGAUGAGAAGCUUCGACCAAGGUUCGACUUGAGCGCCAGCGAGAGAGCGUUGCCGCAGGCAACGACCCGAAGGGCGAAGCGCGCA
This 104-nucleotide small RNA is filed under the name Escherichia coli. Its description in RNAcentral is "partial RtT sRNA". It matches the Rfam family "RtT RNA", at positions 1 to 102 of the family's 130-position model. From Rfam's summary of the family: This family represents a bacterial cis-regulatory element known as RtT RNA. The exact function of RtT is unknown although it is thought that it may be involved in changing the cellular response in relation to amino acid starvation. The record is from RNAcentral. Lineage: Bacteria; Pseudomonadati; Pseudomonadota; Gammaproteobacteria; Enterobacterales; Enterobacteriaceae.